Molecule: RNA transcript, 3735 nt
Organism: Zea mays
Lineage: Eukaryota; Viridiplantae; Streptophyta; Magnoliopsida; Poales; Poaceae
Gene: sbp17
Gene name: SBP-transcription factor 17
Exons: 11
Source: RefSeq, marked validated
ACCCCGCUACGGGUCCCCCAUCUAUCAUCUCCCCACUCACACAUGCUAUCCCACACCGCUACCUUUCUCUGCUCUUUCCCCUCCAGUCCUCCACCCCUGCUGACUCCGUUGCUGUGCAUUCCUGCCAAAGCUUCCCCGCCGAAUUCCCCAACCUCCCGCCGGAUUCGCCCAGCUCGUCGACUCCGGAGUCCGAUUCGUGCACGGAGCAGCGGCCUGGGCCGCCAAUUCGCUCGGUUCGGCGCCGCGCUGAUUCGCUUCGGUACUCUCUUUCUGCUUCCCCCCCUGGAAUGUUUCCGGUGAUUCGCGCGGCAUGAGCUCGGGUUGGAGGUGGUGCCUCUGAUUCCCGCUGGCCCGAGGCGGAGGCGCGAGGGCAUGUGGGUUUCUCUGGUGUGGAUCCGGGGCUGCGUGGGCGUCACGUUCGUCGAUUUCCAGAGCGGGAGGGGAGCCGACUAGAUCUCUCGGCUCCUGCGGUUGCUGCGCUCCGUCGGGAGAGUUACCUGUGACCGGAGAAGGUUGCCGGAGGGUUUUGGGAGGUGAGGGGACAUGGAGGCCGCCAGGUUCGGCGCGCGGAGCAGCCACUUGUACGGCAGCGGGCUGGGCGAGCUUGAUCUCAACAGGCGCGAGAGCAGGGUGUUUGGCUGGGAUCUCAACGAGUGGAGCUGGGACAGUCAGCGGUUUACUGCCACGCCGGUGCCUGUUGAGGCGGCGAAUGGCUCUGGACUGAACAGCUCGCCGUCAUCGUCCGAGGAAGCCGGGGAAGAGAUGGCUAAGAAUGGUGGCUUGGGAGGUGAUACUGACAAGAGGAAAAGGGCCGUGGUCAUUGACGACGACGACGAUGAUGAAACGGAGGAUCAGGACACGGUCGUGAAUGGUGGCGGGUCGCUCAGCCUGAUAAUAGGGGGUAGUGCUGCUGGUGCUGGAGCGAUGGAGAACGGCGAUGUAAAUGAGGAUGAGAGAAAUGGAAAGAAGAUCAGGGUGCAAGGAGGCGGCUCAAGUGGGCCGGCAUGCCAGGUUGAGGGCUGCGGAGCAGAUCUGACUGCAGCGAAGGAUUAUCACCGCCGGCACAAGGUCUGCGAGAUGCAUGCUAAGGCCACCACCGCCGUGGUCGGAAACACUGUCCAGAGGUUCUGCCAGCAAUGCAGUAGAUUUCACCUUCUUCAAGAAUUUGAUGAAGGGAAGCGAAGUUGCCGUCGACGCUUAGCAGGCCACAAUAAACGGAGGAGAAAAACCCGCCCUGAUACUGCAAGUUGUGGGACUGCUUCAAUUGAGGACAAAAUCAGCAAUUAUCUACUGUUGAGCCUUAUUGGAAUCUGUGCUAAUUUGAACUCUGAUAAUGUUCAGCAUUCAAAUGGCCAGGAGUUGCUAUCCACUCUUUUGAAGAACCUAGGGUCUGUUGCCAAAUCACUGGAGCCAAAAGAACUAUGUAAACUCCUGGAGGCAUACCAAAGCCUGCAAAAUGGAUCAAAUGCUGGAACCUCUGGAACAGCUAAUGCCACAGAAGAGGCUGCAGGGCCAUCUAACUCUAAGUUGCCUUUCGUGAAUGGUAGUCAUUGUGGACAUGCAUCAUCAUCUGUUGUGCCAGUACAGUCGAAGGCUACCAUAGUGGUAACUCCAGAGCCCGCAUCAUGCAAGCUUAAGGAUUUUGAUCUGAAUGACACUUGCAAUGAUAUGGAAGGCUUUGAGGAUGGACAAGAAGGUUCACCUACACCUGCCUUUAAGACAGCUGACUCUCCUAAUUGUGCAUCAUGGAUGCAACAAGAUUCUACUCAAAGUCCACCGCAGACUAGUGGCAACUCAGAUUCAACAUCAACACAAUCAUUGUCAAGCUCAAAUGGAGACGCUCAGUGCCGAACUGAUAAGAUUGUCUUCAAGCUUUUUGACAAAGUUCCCAGUGAUUUACCCCCAGUUUUGCGGUCACAGAUUCUUGGUUGGUUGUCAAGUAGCCCUACUGAUAUAGAGAGCCAUAUUAGACCUGGGUGUAUUAUUCUAACAAUAUAUCUACGGUUAGUUGAGUCUGCAUGGCAAGAGCUUUCUGAGAAUAUGAGCCUGCACCUGGAUAAGCUUUUGAGUAGCUCCACUGACAACUUUUGGGCAUCUGGCUUGGUAUUUGUGAUGGUUCGGCGUCGCUUAGCUUUUAUGCUCAAUGGUCAAAUUAUGUUGGACAGACCCCUGGCACCCAGUUCUCAUCAUUACUGCAAGAUUUUAUGUGUCAAACCUGUUGCUGCACCUUAUUCUGCAACAAUAAAUUUCAGAGUCGAAGGAUCUAAUCUACUCAGUACUUCCUCAAGGCUAAUUUGUUCAUUUGAAGGACGUUGUAUAUUCCAGGAAGACACAGACUCUGUAGCAGAAAAUGAUGAGUAUGAGGAUAGGGCCAUCGAAUGCCUCAGUUUUUGUUGUUCCGUUCCUGGUCCAAGAGGAAGAGGAUUUAUAGAGGUUGAAGAUAGUGGUUUUAGCAAUGGCUUCUUCCCCUUCAUAAUUGCUGAGAAAGACAUAUGCUUUGAGGUUUCUGAGCUGGAGAGCAUAUUUGAGUCCUCCAGUAUCGAACAUGCAGAUGCUAAUGAUAAUGCCAGGGAACAAGCUCUGGAGUUUCUAAAUGAGCUGGGUUGGCUUCUUCACAGAGCGAACAGAAUGUCUAAAGAGAAUGUAACUGAUACAUCUGUAGCUACCUUUAGCAUGUGGAGAUUCAGGAAUCUUGGUGUAUUUGCCAUGGAGCGGGAGUGGUGUGCUGUGAUCAAAAUGCUGUUAGAUUUCUUAUUUAUUGGCCUUGUCGAUGUGGGAUCCCGAUCUCCAGAAGAGGUGGUGCUUUCAGAAAAUUUGUUGCAUGCUGCUGUACGGAGGAAGUCUGUUAACAUGGUUAGAUUUCUGCUGAGAUACAGACCAAACAAAAACUCCAAGGGGACUGCACAGACAUACUUAUUUAGACCUGAUGCUCUGGGCCCGUCAAUGAUUACCCCCCUCCAUAUAGCAGCUGCCACUAGUGAUGCAGAGGAUGUGUUGGAUGUGCUGACCGAUGAUCCUGGACUGGUAUUCUAUUUCUAGUUCUUGGAAUUUUACCUCUUAUUUUCCACCACCUCAAGCUGAGCUAUAUUAAUUUACAACAAUUGGAAUUAGUGCUUGGAGCAAUGCACGGGACGGAACAGGUUUUACCCCAGAAGAUUAUGCUCGGCAGAGAGGCAAUGAUGCUUACCUGAAUCUGGUCCAAAAGAAGAUUGAUAAGCAUCUUGGCAAAGGCCGUGUUGUCCUCGGUGUUCCGAGCAGUAUAUGCUCUGUAAUAACUGAUGGUGUUAAGCCUGGCGAUGUUAGCCUCGAGAUCUGCAUGCCAAUGUCUGCAUCAGUGCCAGGUUGCCUCCUCUGCAGCCGUAAGGCACGGGUGUAUCCGAAUUCUACAUCGAGGACCUUCCUUUACAGGCCAGCGAUGUUGACUGUGAUGGGAGUUGCUGUGGUCUGUGUCUGCGUGGGCAUACUCCUCCAUACCUUUCCCAGGGUUUAUGCCGCGCCCACAUUCAGAUGGGAGUUGCUGGAGCGUGGACCCAUGUAAGUUUUAGGAUGAGCCUUAGCUGUUGUUUGUAACUUGUAAGUUGAGAGUUUUAGCGUUGUGGCUAAGAUCAAAGGAACAUGAUUACCGUGUGAAGAAGUUCAUCUGUGUUUAACGCAAGAUGCUGUUGCGGCUGUAAGCUUUAUAUACAUCGUCGAUUUCAACUAUAUUUACAGCCUAUCAUGCUCCCAUUCCAUUCA